Schistosoma rodhaini is the source of this 45-nucleotide non-coding RNA. The record is from Rfam. NCBI's taxonomy places the organism in Eukaryota, Metazoa, Platyhelminthes, Trematoda, Strigeidida, Schistosomatidae.
AUCCAGUUGACGAGUCCCAAAUAGGACGAAACGCGCGUCCUAGAC